UCCCUGGUGGUCCAGUGGUUAGGACACCGAGCUUUCGAUGCUGAGGGCCCAGGUUCAAUCUCUGGUCAGGGAA
Molecule: non-coding RNA, 73 nt
Organism: Mesoplodon densirostris (Blainville's beaked whale)
Lineage: Eukaryota; Metazoa; Chordata; Mammalia; Artiodactyla; Ziphiidae
Source: the annotation of a RefSeq genome assembly